RNAcentral lists this ribosomal RNA (372 nucleotides) under uncultured organism. Its description in RNAcentral is "partial 16S ribosomal RNA". It matches the Rfam family "Bacterial small subunit ribosomal RNA", at positions 527 to 896 of the family's 1533-position model. The record is from RNAcentral.
GUAGGUGGCAAGCGUUGUCCGGAAUUAUUGGGCGUAAAGCGCGCGCAGGCGGUUCUUUAAGUCUGAUGUGAAAGCCCACGGCUCAACCGUGGAGGGUCAUUGGAAACUGGAGAACUUGAGUACAGAAGAGGAAAGCGGAAUUCCACGUGUAGCGGUGAAAUGCGUAGAGAUGUGGAGGAACACCAGUGGCGAAGGCGGCUUUCUGGUCUGUAACUGACGCUGAGGCGCGAAAGCGUGGGGGAGCAAACAGGAUUAGAUACCCUGGUAGUCCACGCCGUAAACGAUGAGUGCUAAGUGUUAGGGGGUUUCCGCCCCUUAGUGCUGCAGCUAACGCAUUAAGCACUCCGCCCUGGGAGUACGGCCGCGAGGCUG